UGCAGUCGAACGAUGAAGCCCAGCUUGCUGGGUGGAUUAGUGGCGAACGGGUGAGUAACACGUGAGUAACCUGCCCUUAACUCUGGGAUAAGCCUGGGAAACUGGGUCUAAUACCGGAUAGGAGCGUCCACCGCAUGGUGGGUGUUGGAAAGAUUUAUCGGUUUUGGAUGGACUCGCGGCCUAUCAGCUUGUUGGUGAGGUAAUGGCUCACCAAGGCGACGACGGGUAGCCGGCCUGAGAGGGUGACCGGCCACACUGGGACUGAGACACGGCCCAGACUCCUACGGGAGGCAGCAGUGGGGAAUAUUGCACAAUGGGCGCAAGCCUGAUGCAGCGACGCCGCGUGAGGGAUGACGGCCUUCGGGUUGUAAACCUCUUUCAGUAGGGAAGAAGCGAAAGUGACGGUACCUGCAGAAGAAGCACCGGCUAACUACGUGCCAGCAGCCGCGGUAAUACGUAGGGUGCGAGCGUUAUCCGGAAUUAUUGGGCGUAAAGAGCUCGUAGGCGGUUUGUCGCGUCUGUCGUGAAAGUCCGGGGCUUAACCCCGGAUCUGCGGUGGGUACGGGCAGACUAGAGUGCAGUAGGGGAGACUGGAAUUCCUGGUGUAGCGGUGGAAUGCGCAGAUAUCAGGAGGAACACCGAUGGCGAAGGCAGGUCUCUGGGCUGUAACUGACGCUGAGGAGCGAAAGCAUGGGGAGCGAACAGGAUUAGAUACCCUGGUAGUCCAUGCCGUAAACGUUGGGCACUAGGUGUGGGGACCAUUCCACGGUUUCCGCGCCGCAGCUAACGCAUUAAGUGCCCCGCCUGGGGAGUACGGCCGCAAGGCUAAAACUCAAAGGAAUUGACGGGGGCCCGCACAAGCGGCGGAGCAUGCGGAUUAAUUCGAUGCAACGCGAAGAACCUUACCAAGGCUUGACAUGUUCUCGAUCGCCGUAGAGAUACGGUUUCCCCUUUGGGGCGGGUUCACAGGUGGUGCAUGGUUGUCGUCAGCUCGUGUCGUGAGAUGUUGGGUUAAGUCCCGCAACGAGCGCAACCCUCGUUCCAUGUUGCCAGCACGUAAUGGUGGGGACUCAUGGGAGACUGCCGGGGUCAACUCGGAGGAAGGUGAGGACGACGUCAAAUCAUCAUGCCCCUUAUGUCUUGGGCUUCACGCAUGCUACAAUGGCCGGUACAAUGGGUUGCGAUACUGUGAGGUGGAGCUAAUCCCAAAAAGCCGGUCUCAGUUCGGAUUGGGGUCUGCAACUCGACCCCAUGAAGUCGGAGUCGCUAGUAAUCGCAGAUCAGC
Molecule: ribosomal RNA, 1285 nt
Filed under: Micrococcus sp. LC402
Lineage: Bacteria; Bacillati; Actinomycetota; Actinomycetes; Micrococcales; Micrococcaceae
Description: bacterial SSU rRNA
Rfam family: Bacterial small subunit ribosomal RNA
Source: RNAcentral